This 230-nucleotide ribosomal RNA is filed under the name uncultured bacterium. RNAcentral describes it as "partial 16S ribosomal RNA". It matches the Rfam family "Bacterial small subunit ribosomal RNA", at positions 563 to 791 of the family's 1533-position model. The record is from RNAcentral.
AAGCGCGCGUAGGUGGUUUGGUUAAGUUGGAUGUGAAAUCCCCGGGCUCAACCUGGGAACUGCAUUCAAAACUGACUGACUAGAGUAUGGUAGAGGGUGGUGGAAUUUCCUGUGUAGCGGUGAAAUGCGUAGAUAUAGGAAGGAACACCAGUGGCGAAGGCGACCACCUGGACUGAUACUGACACUGAGGUGCGAAAGCGUGGGGAGCAAACAGGAUUAGAUACCCUUGU